RNAcentral lists this ribosomal RNA (292 nucleotides) under uncultured bacterium. RNAcentral describes it as "partial 16S ribosomal RNA". It matches the Rfam family "Bacterial small subunit ribosomal RNA", at positions 505 to 796 of the family's 1533-position model. The record is from RNAcentral.
GUGCCAGCAGCCGCGGUAAUACGGAGGGGGCGAGCGUUGUUCGGAAUCACUGGGUGUAAAGGGUGCGUAGGCGGUUUGUUAAGUCUGAUGUGAAAGCCCUGGGCUUAACUCAGGAAUUGCAUUGGAUACUAGCAAGCUGGAGUACGGGAGAGGGAAGCGGAAUUCCUGGUGUAGCGGUGAAAUGCGUAGAUACCAGGAGGAACACCGGUGGCGAAGGCGGUUUCCUGGCCCAGUACUGACGCUGAGGCACGAAAGCGUGGGGAGCGAACGGGAUUAGAUACCCGCGUAGUCC